AUCUCUUGGUUCUGGCAUCGAUGAAGAACGCAGCAAAAUGCGAUAAGUAAUGUGAAUUGCAGAAUUCAGUGAAUCAUCGAAUCUUUGAACGCACAUUGCGCCCGCCAGUAUUCUGGCGGGCAUGCCUGUUCGAGCGUCAUUUCAACCCUCAAGCCCCCGGGUUUGGUGUUGGGGAUCGGCGAGCCCUUGCGGCAAGCCGGCCCCGAAAUCUAGUGGCGGUCUCGCUGCAGCUUCCAUUGCGUAGUAGUAAAACCCUCGCAACUGGUACGCGGCGCGGCCAAGCCGUUAAACCCCCAACUUCUGAAUGUUGACCUCGGAUCAGGUAGGAAUACCCGCUGAACUUAAGCAUA
Molecule: ribosomal RNA, 350 nt
Filed under: Fusarium fujikuroi
Lineage: Eukaryota; Fungi; Ascomycota; Sordariomycetes; Hypocreales; Nectriaceae
Description: eukaryotic LSU rRNA
Rfam family: 5.8S ribosomal RNA (bases 1-139)
Source: RNAcentral